Oncorhynchus tshawytscha (Chinook salmon) is the source of this 272-nucleotide long non-coding RNA. The record is from Ensembl. Lineage: Eukaryota; Metazoa; Chordata; Actinopteri; Salmoniformes; Salmonidae.
UGGAGGGAGGGACUAUAGGUGGAGGGAGGACUAUAGGUGGAGGGAGGGGGACCAUAGGUGGAGGGAGGGACUAUAGGUGGAGGGAGAGAGGACUAUAGGUCGAGGUAGGGGGACUAUAGGUGGAGGGAGGGGGACUGUAGGUGGAGGUAGGACUAUAGGUGGAGGGAGGGGGACUAUAGGUAGAGGGAGGACUAUUGUUGAAGGGAGGGGGACUAUAGGUGGAGGGAGGGACUAUAGGUGGAGGGAGGACUAUAGGUGGAGGGAGGGGGACC